This 431-nucleotide ribosomal RNA is filed under the name uncultured bacterium. RNAcentral's name for it is "bacterial SSU rRNA". It matches the Rfam family "Bacterial small subunit ribosomal RNA", at positions 29 to 506 of the family's 1533-position model. The record is from RNAcentral.
ACGAACGCUGGCGGCAGGCUUAACACAUGCAAGUCGAACGAAGGCUUCGGCCUUAGUGGCGCACGGGUGAGUAACACGUGGGAAUAUACCUCUCAGUGGGGGAUAACGUCGGGAAACUGACGCUAAUAUCGCAUACGCCCUUCGGGGGAAAGAUUUAUCGCUGAGAGAUUAGCCCGCGUCCGAUUAGCUAGUUGGUAAGGUAAUGGCUUACCAAGGCUACGAUCGGUAGCUGGUCUGAGAGGAUGAUCAGCCACACUGGGACUGAGACACGGCCCAGACUCCUACGGGAGGCAGCAGUGGGGAAUAUUGGACAAUGGGGGCAACCCUGAUCCAGCCAUGCCGCGUGAGUGAUGAAGGCCUUAGGGUUGUAAAGCUCUUUUACCAGGGAUGAUAAUGACAGUACCUGGAGAAUAAGCUCCGGCUAACUCCGU